This 497-nucleotide ribosomal RNA is filed under the name uncultured bacterium. Its description in RNAcentral is "partial 16S ribosomal RNA". It matches the Rfam family "Bacterial small subunit ribosomal RNA", at positions 28 to 507 of the family's 1533-position model. The record is from RNAcentral.
GAUGAACGCUGGCGGCGUGCCUAAUACAUGCCAGUCGAGCGAACGGACGAGAAGCUUGCUUCUCUGAUGUUAGCGGCGGACGGGUGAGUAACACGUGGAUAACCUACCUAUAAGACUGGGAUAACUUCGGGAAACCGUAGCUAAUACCGGAUAAUAUUUUGAACCGCAUGGUUCAAAAGUGAAAGACGGUCUUGCUGUCACUUAUAGAUGGAUCCGCGCUGCAUUAGCUAGUUGGUAAGGUAACGGCUUACCAAGGCAACGAUGCAUAGCCGACCUGAGAGGGUGAUCGGCCACACUGGAACUGAGACACGGUCCAGACUCCUACGGGAGGCAGCAGUAGGGAAUCUUCCGCGAUGGGCGAAAGCCUGACGGAGCAACGCCGCGUGAGUGAUGAAGGUCUUCGGAUCGUAAAACUCUGUUAUUAGGGAAGAACAUAUGUGUAAGUAACUGUGCACAUCUUGACGGUACCUAAUCAGAAAGCCACGGCUAACUACGUG